RNAcentral lists this transfer RNA (73 nucleotides) under Stegodyphus mimosarum. It matches the Rfam family "tRNA". From Rfam's summary of the family: Transfer RNA (tRNA) molecules are approximately 80 nucleotides in length. Their secondary structure includes four short double-helical elements and three loops (D, anti-codon, and T loops). Lineage: Eukaryota; Metazoa; Arthropoda; Arachnida; Araneae; Eresidae. The record is from Rfam by way of RNAcentral.
GCCUUCGUGGUGCAGUGGUGAGCACGCUUGGCGCGUAUUCAAGAGGUGCUUGGUUCGAGUCCAAGCGAUGGCA